This 479-nucleotide ribosomal RNA is filed under the name uncultured bacterium. Its description in RNAcentral is "partial 16S ribosomal RNA". It matches the Rfam family "Bacterial small subunit ribosomal RNA", at positions 28 to 507 of the family's 1533-position model. The record is from RNAcentral.
GAUGAACGCUGGCGGCGUGCUUAACACAUGCAAGUCGAACGAAGCACUUAAGAUUGAUUCUUCGGAUGACGUCUUUUGUGACUUAGUGGCGGACGGGUGAGUAACGCGUGGGUAACCUGCCUCACACAGGGGGAUAACAGUUAGAAAUGACUGCUAAUACCGCAUAACCCGAUAGGAUCGCAUGAUCCAGACGGAAAAGAUUUAUCGGUGUGAGAUGGACCCGCGUCUGAUUAGCUAGUUGGUGAGGUAACGGCCCACCAAGGCGACGAUCAGUAGCCGGCCUGAGAGGGUGAACGGCCACAUUGGGACUGAGACACGGCCCAAACUCCUACGGGAGGCAGCAGUGGGGAAUAUUGCACAAUGGGGGAAACCCUGAUGCAGCGACGCCGCGUGAGUGAAGAAGUAUUUCGGUAUGUAAAGCUCUAUCAGCAGGGAAGAAAAUGACGGUACCUGACUAAGAAGCCCCGGCUAACUACGUG